ACCAGGCACUGUCCUAGGCACAGAGAAUAAUGGAAGUAAAGGCCUUUAUGGAGCUUGCAUUCUAGUGGGAGAGAAGAGACAACAAAGAAAUAAAAAUUUCAGAAAGUGGGAAGCACAGAUGUCUUCAAGGAGGGACCAGUGAGGAAGCUCUUUGUGGUCGCUUGGACUAGGAUGGCAGCAGAGAAGGCGUAGAAGGGGUGUAUCAGUAUGUAUUCAGAUACACUUUGAAUUGGAAUGGAUUUGGCAGAGAAUGUGAACGAACAAAAGCUCAUCGCUGAUUUUUAAGUUCAGGACCUAAAGGCCGCCACUUUUGUAUCCAAAGCGCUGCUGCCCCCAGCUGCACUGCUUGAACAAAUUGCACCGUGAGCAAGCAAAAGCUGCACCCAGGAGACUGCUGACGUGACCUCAGAAACGCACAGUCCAGUCCUAUUGCCCAAUGCUUUUGCCCAAGAGCUUCUAUCAUAGCGUUUGGAUUUCUGGCCAUCUUGGUGACCAUAUUGGACCUUCCUUCUCCCUGCUCCCAUCAAGUUUUAAACAGAAACAUCUCUAACAACUCAUCAGUGACCAAUCAGUGAAAUGGUUCUAAGCUCUUGGGAGGCUCAGGCUCCUGCUGUUUCUCCUCCUUACCACAUUUUAUAACAAUUAAAAAAUUAGUCCAGCCACAAUCCAUUACCUGGUUGUACUCUAAGACAAGGAUUUGCCUUCCAAGGGCAAUUCCAAGACAGAAAUGAUUGGAAAAUUAUGUAUGAUUAACUCUCCCAGGAAUCAAAUGACCUCAGUAAAUAUUUUUUUGAGACCAUUAGGUCCCAGGGAUGCAAAGACAUUAUCCCUGUCUUCUGUCCAGAGCUUUGGUUUUCUUCUCAAUAAACAAACCUAAGUUUUUGUUUGUGUUUUGUU
Molecule: long non-coding RNA, 897 nt
Organism: Bos taurus (domestic cattle)
Lineage: Eukaryota; Metazoa; Chordata; Mammalia; Artiodactyla; Bovidae
Source: Ensembl